GUCCACGCCGUAAACGAUGAGUGCUAGGUGUUGGAUCCUUUCCGGGAUUCAGUGCCGCAGCUAACGCAUUAAGCACUCCGCCUGGGGGAGUACGACCGCAAAGGUUGAAAACUCAAAAGGAAUUGACGGGGGGCCCGCACAAGCGGUGGAGCAUGUGGUUUAAUUCGAAGCAAACGCGAAGAACCUUACCAGGUCUUGACAUCCCGAUGCUAUUUCAGAGAUAGAAAGUUACUUCGGUACAUCGGUGACAGGUGGUGCAUGGUUGUCGU
RNAcentral lists this ribosomal RNA (269 nucleotides) under uncultured bacterium. RNAcentral's name for it is "partial 16S ribosomal RNA". It matches the Rfam family "Bacterial small subunit ribosomal RNA", at positions 793 to 1055 of the family's 1533-position model. The record is from RNAcentral.